CAAAAAUACUCGAACAUCAACUCAAAACCUUUCCUUUUCGAAAAAAAGGCAAAUAAUAAUAUAGGUAUUCCAGUGUAGUAUUUUCCCCUCUAAUAAUACGGUUGUCCAGACCUCAUUUUUCAGAUUCAGGUGCUUAUUUUUCGUCUCUCAAUCCUGUUGGGGAAACUAUGCCUUUCCCAUCCUCGUGCACCUGCUCCACAGGAUUAGACAACGCCUCAAAAGACAGAUGGGGAUACACCGACAAGCUGUACAGGGCGGCAGGUUAAUGGAAGGAGAAAAAAGUAUCAAAGCAACGACUCCAGUUUACUUCCUUUCCGUAUCCAUGGACUCGACAUCCCGUGUUAACUGGCAGGACUGUGGCAGAGGCUGGAGGAACGCAGUUUGCCCGCACACUGAGCAGCACCGAGACACCUUCAGGUUCAGACGCGAACUGCAUUUUCAAAUGCAUCCGCAGCACAAGUUAAUGCGGCGCGUGGGUCAGUAACGCUACUGUACAGCCGCCCUCCUGUCACGGAUAAGCGCUGGCACUGCACGUGCUUGCCGAUUUACUGUUUAGCGGACGUGUUUCUGUGUUGUUUUAUCAUUUUUCCGCAAACGAAGAUGCACAUCAAAACCUUACCAGCCGGACGUUGGAAAUUAAAUUAUUUACUUUUAUUACCGAUAAAUUCCCGAACAAAUUGCAACAUUCUCUUAUCAUUUCACAUAUAUUCUCUGUAUAUCGCCUAAUUCUUCUUGUCUGUACUGAAAGAAUUUCAUGAAAAAUUCUCACAGAAAAGUGUCAUUCUGCCAUUCAGGUAUUUCAUAAGUCAGAUAUUUGGCUAUAGUUUAAUAUGUUUUUAUAGACUGUACUUUUUUUUAAACUGCCUAUGAAUUAUGUUCGUUGGAUAUAGUUCAAUAUAUUAACUAUAUCCAACGCGGAUAUAGUUCAUGGUUAGAUAAAGAAGUACAAUCUAUAAAAAAUAAAGCUAUAUGCAUACUGUCUGUUUAUUACAUGCACACGAGCUUAUGAAGUUUAGUCGACUUAAUACUGACUGUAAGGACAGUCCUCUAAGGUGUGGGCCCCUAGAAUUGUAGUGAACCAUUCAACCAUUUUAGUCCUAAUUUGGCACACCUGAUUCUACUACUGUAAUUAGCAGCUCAAGGAGAUCUCUAGCUGUUGAUUGAGAUGUGCUUUGAUAGGAGUAAAAACCUACAGGAGGGUAGAUCUCCAGGAACAGGGUUGGGAACCACUCACAUAAAUGUACAAAUCUACAACUACACUGACUUCAUAAUUUAAAACAGAUGAAUGUGAAUGCAGAUACACAUUUUAUUAAAGCAUACCUGUAUGAUACAAUGAAAGACAUGCAAAUGCACCCUGACUAUAUGUAUACACUGUGUGAAUAAGCACACCCAGAGUAUAAACACAUCACAAGCACGUUCAGGGGUAGUUUUUCGUUACUAUUUUUGAGGUGUCAUAUUUUGUUAUCUAAUAUUUGUUUACAGAUACAUCUUUUCUUAUUCCCUGACAUCAAUAGAAAGUUAAGAAACCAACAUACAAUUCCAACAGCAACAUGUUUUGUCGUAGCACAGUAAUCAGACAACACAGCACAGAUUUGUGCAUAUGUAUAUAUUACCUUGGCGUAGAGUUC
Long non-coding RNA from Anguilla rostrata (American eel), 1628 nucleotides. RefSeq lists it as uncharacterized. The transcript has 2 exons. NCBI's taxonomy places the organism in Eukaryota, Metazoa, Chordata, Actinopteri, Anguilliformes, Anguillidae. The record is from RefSeq and is a predicted model, not a curated record.